This is a non-coding RNA of Actinomyces denticolens, 842 nucleotides long. The record is from Rfam. NCBI's taxonomy places the organism in Bacteria, Bacillati, Actinomycetota, Actinomycetes, Actinomycetales, Actinomycetaceae.
UUGCUUGUUUUUAUGGGCGUUCGGUGGAUGCCUUGGCAUCAGGGGCCGAUGAAGGACGUGGUGGCCUGCGAUAAGCCUCGGGGAGCCGGCUUGCGGGCUGUGAUCCGAGGGUUUCCGAAUGGGGGGACCCGGCCGGGGUCAUGCCCGGUCACCCGCGCUUGAAUUCAUAGGGCGUGGGGGGUGACGCGGGGAAGUGAAACAUCUCAGUACCCGUAGGAGAGGAUAUUCCGUGAGUAGUGGCGAGCGAAAGCGGAUGAUGGUUAAACCAUGGUCGUGUGAUACCCGGCAGGGGUUGCGGUCGUGGGGUUGUGGGGCAUUGUUUUCCCGUUGCUGCCGUGGCGGGGCGCAGUGAUCAAGCCUGUGUGGUAGCCGAAUCCCCUGGGAAGGGGGGCCGUAGUGGGUGAUAGCCCCGUAGGCGGAACCUGUGGGCCUGCGUGAUGGUGUUCCCGAGUAGCACGGGGCCCGUGGAAUCCUGUGUGAAUCUGCCGAGACCACUCGGUUGCCUGAAUACUUCCUGAUGACCGAUAGCGGAUGAGUACCGUGAGGGAAUGGUGAAAAGUACCCCGGGAGGGGAGUGAAAGAGUACCUGAAACCGGGCGCCUACGAGCCGUCAGAGCCUUCCUGUUUGUGGGGGUGAUGGCGUGCCUAUUGAAGAAUGAGCCUGCGAGUCAGUGGCGCGUCGCGAGGCUAACCCGUGUGGGGGAGUCGUAGCGAGAGCGAGUCCGAAAGGGCGGUUGAGUGGCGCGUCCUGGACCCGAAGCGGGGUGAUCUACCCAUGGCCAGGUUGAAGCACGUGUAAGAGCGUGUGGAGGACCGAACCCGCCUCAGUUGAAAAUGGGGGG